AUAUGCAUGCCGAGUUUGCACUCUGUGUGAGUGUUUCCAGGUUACACAUGUGGGAUGACAUCACAGAAACCACACAAGCAACAAAUUAAAUUCUACGGGAAGAAAUACUCCUGACUGGUCUCUGAGGAGACAUUUUUAUGCCUUCUUAACUUUAUUAGGAAUUCUCAGGCUGAAGCUAUGGGUCAUUGUUCUCCAACAAAUCAAUACAAGCCAUCAAUGCACUAAGAACUGCCAAACCCUGAUCUGUGUGAAUGUUCUUAGGAGCCUGUGAUCCCCAUGGUGCUACAAAGAGGCUGGAGCUGGGCCAAUGAGAAGGCCUAAGAAUCCUCCUGCCUUCAGCAGAUGUUUACUGAGCACUCUGAGCCAGCAACACCACACCAGUAACUGGGAGGACAGCAGCUGGGCAGUAGGGUGCCCAGCCACUUGAAUCUCUUUUCCUCUGAGGCAUGUUUUAAUCCUCUUAUAUCAGACCCCAGCCAGGGGACACUUUGUCUACAGAUCCUCCCCCACAGUUUUCAGAUGGCCUAAGCCAUACACAAAUGACUCAGACUAAGAAACAUCAAUACUCCCAGAAGCCCCAAGAGCUGAUUUUUGAGCAGUAUGACAAGUGGAAGAGGAUAUUACAGAGGCCAUUUUUUUCUCCUCCUCCCGCUCAUACUAGAAGCUAGCCCUCCACUCCUAGCUCCUCCACACAAGUUGGCAGUGGUUCCAUUACACCAAUGGCACAGGAAAACACAGGUACCGGUUUGCCUUCCUCCCUUGCCAAUCACAAGUGCCUUACUCUGACCAGACCCUAUGCCGAAACCUCUCUCGUCCAAGAGAACCAAAUCUCUACAUUUGUUACUACUUCAAGUCAAUGUGGUAACUGCUACUCUUCAAGAUUCACCUAAACAGUACAGUCCAACCUUCUCCAGGGCCACAGCACAGAGCAACCUCUAGCACACACCAGCCUUGAAUCUGUUCCACAGCAUAUCAACCACAGUAACCUCCCUCCCUCCCACUGCCUCGCUCUAAUUACAAGGUGAAGUUGGCCAUAAAAAAAAAUCAAGUUAGCACUGAUUACAAAAUGCUUUUGAUGCAACCUGAAUUCCCCAGUGCUUUUAAACUCUGACGAUGCUCUGGGAUCUGUGAGCCCCAUGCUCAGAGCCACUGGGCAGUUGGAGAACCCUUGCAGGAGACAUCUGCACACACAUGAAUGUACCGUUUCCAUGCCUUUUGUGGAGAACAUACACACAUACAUGCAUACUUUCAUUCACACACAUACACACAUAUACACACUUACAUUAGUAAUAGUUUAUUAUCAAACCACGGCAAGCUCUUCUCAUAUAAGACACACUGGGAUAAGAGAGUGUUGAGUGUGGAGUUGUUAGGACCCUCAGUAGUGGACAGAGAUUGCCAGGAGGCCUAACACUCAGGAGUCAUCUUCAACUGGGAAAUGACUUGCCCCCUGCAAGUUGAAAGCCCCACCACUUGCCUACCUUUCUACACCUUCAAAGAGCAUGUUCUGUGAUACCUGUAAUUCUCCAAGAAAGUAACAUUUUAGCCCUUAAUUUAGCACAUUUAAAUAAAGACAGAGUCGAUGUCAGGUAACUUCUUCACAAACAAAUCAGAUGCUGGUUUGCGUUCGCUGGCCUGUGUGUUGGUACUUCCUAAAGCAGUGAUCAGAAAGCACACAAAUCUCCUGAGAGACUAGAAACAGAAUGAGCAGCCCUCCCAUCAGGGCAACGUGGUAGUGGUUGGGAUAGCCAGUCAUCUGAAUGUUUGUGGUAACAAACAACACAACCUGAACUGGCCACAGGCUGCUUAGCUCCGUUCUCAUUAAUGUUAACAUCUCAGUUAACCGGCACAGCCAUUCUGCAGGGCUUUGUCCAUUGAUAGCGCUUUGGUUAGCUCAUGUUUUCACAUUUGUAUGUUACAUGCUGUUAUUUUUGUAUGCAUUUCUCAUAUGGAGGGAUCUACAGGUAAACACAGCCUCCUAGUUCAGUAGAAAAUGACAUUGUUAAGAGUAUUAUAUCCAAUAAAGAGUAAACAG
Molecule: long non-coding RNA, 2032 nt
Filed under: Rattus norvegicus (Norway rat)
Lineage: Eukaryota; Metazoa; Chordata; Mammalia; Rodentia; Muridae
Description: long non-coding RNA NONRATT003284
Source: RNAcentral